RNAcentral lists this ribosomal RNA (250 nucleotides) under uncultured bacterium. Its description in RNAcentral is "partial 16S ribosomal RNA". It matches the Rfam family "Bacterial small subunit ribosomal RNA", at positions 524 to 773 of the family's 1533-position model. The record is from RNAcentral.
GACAGAGGGUGCAAACGUUGCUCGGAUUUACUGGGCGUAAAGCGCAUGUAGGCUGGCGAAUAAGUCGGGUGUGAAAUCCCUGGGCUCAACCUAGGAACUGCAUCCGAAACUGUUCACCUAGAGUGGUGGAGAGGAAAGCGGAAUUCCGGGUGUAGAGGUGAAAUUCGUAGAUAUCCGGAGGAACACCAGUGGCGAAGGCGGCUUUCUGGACACCAACUGACGCUGAGAUGCGAAAGCGUGGGGAGCAAAC